AAAAACAGAGGGAAAGAGCGAAAAGACAAGAAGGGCGCAAACUGUGACAGACUCACCGCUUCACUAACUACUCACUUAAACUGGAAGCAAAAUGUCCCUAAAAUUGCCAAGGAACUGGGAUUUCAACCUGAAAAUGGAGGCUGUGAAAAUAGUAAAUGCUAAAGGGAGUCCUUCCUGCAGGUUGAUAUAAAAGGACACUAAACAAUAACUUGAUGCCAUAUGAAGAAAAAAAGAUCUCAGCAAAGAUACUGACUCCCACGCAGGAAAAAGGAAGCACCUUUUGUCAGAUGCUGUGGCCACUUCCUCUUCAGAAGGCUCCAGCCAACCUUUCGGUUUGCAGAAUGACGGGGCCUGCCGCGGUGCCAGACUGCCUGUGCACGGGGCCACCGACUGCAGCCUGGGUUUUAUUCUUGGCCUGGCCCUGACCGGGAGCUGGCCCCUCGGCUGCUUCUCUGGCUCGGGGGGGGACUUUCUCUGGCUCAGAUCCAGACCCCUGAACUGGACCUGGUUGUCGUCCCCCCGCUUCUCAGCCCCCUCUG
RNAcentral lists this small RNA (539 nucleotides) under Pongo abelii (Sumatran orangutan). RNAcentral's name for it is "processed transcript". The record is from RNAcentral. Lineage: Eukaryota; Metazoa; Chordata; Mammalia; Primates; Hominidae.